RNAcentral lists this ribosomal RNA (1665 nucleotides) under Alternaria eureka. Its description in RNAcentral is "SSU rRNA". It matches the Rfam family "Eukaryotic small subunit ribosomal RNA". Lineage: Eukaryota; Fungi; Ascomycota; Dothideomycetes; Pleosporales; Pleosporaceae. The record is from RNAcentral.
UAAGCUAUUAUACCGUGAAACUGCGAAUGGCUCAUUAAAUCAGUUAUCGUUUAUUUGAUAAUACCUUACUACUUGGAUAACCGUGGUAAUUCUAGAGCUAAUACAUGCUGAAAAUCCCGACUUCGGAAGGGAUGUGUUUAUUAGAUAAAAAACCAAUGCCCUUCGGGGCUCUUUGGUGAUUCAUGAUAACUUUACGGAUCGCAUAGCCUUGCGCUGGCGACGGUUCAUUCAAAUUUCUGCCCUAUCAACUUUCGAUGGUAAGGUAUUGGCUUACCAUGGUUUCAACGGGUAACGGGGAAUUAGGGUUCGAUUCCGGAGAGGGAGCCUGAGAAACGGCUACCACAUCCAAGGAAGGCAGCAGGCGCGCAAAUUAUCCAAUCCCGACACGGGGAGAUAGUGACAAUAAAUACUGAUACAGGGCUCUUUUGGGUCUUGUAAUUGGAAUGAGUACAAUUUAAACCUCUUAACGAGGAACAAUUGGAGGGCAAGUCUGGUGCCAGCAGCCGCGGUAAUUCCAGCUCCAAUAGCGUAUAUUAAAGUUGUUGCAGUUAAAAAGCUCGUAGUUGAAACUUGGGCCUGGCUGGCGGGUCCGCCUCACCGCGUGCACUCGUCCGGCCGGGCCUUCCUUCUGAAGAACCUCAUGCCCUUCACUGGGCGUGUUGGGGAAUCAGGACUUUUACUUUGAAAAAAUUAGAGUGUUCAAAGCAGGCCUUUGCUCGAAUACGUUAGCAUGGAAUAAUAAAAUAGGGCGUGCGUUUCUAUUUUGUUGGUUUCUAGAGACGCCGCAAUGAUUAACAGGAACAGUCGGGGGCAUCAGUAUUCCGUUGUCAGAGGUGAAAUUCUUGGAUUUACGGAAGACUAACUACUGCGAAAGCAUUUGCCAAGGAUGUUUUCAUUAAUCAGUGAACGAAAGUUAGGGGAUCGAAGACGAUCAGAUACCGUCGUAGUCUUAACCGUAAACUAUGCCGACUAGGGAUCGGGCGAUGUUCUUUUUCUGACUCGCUCGGCACCUUACGAGAAAUCAAAGUUUUUGGGUUCUGGGGGGAUUAUGGUCGCAAGGCUGAAACUUAAAGAAAUUGACGGAAGGUCACCACCAGGCGUGGAGCCUGCGGCUUAAUUUGUCUCAACACGGGGAAACUCACCAGGUCCAGAUGAAAUAAGGAUUGACAGAUUGAGAGCUCUUUCUUGAUUUUUCAGGUGGUGGUGCAUGGCCGUUCUUAGUUCGUGGGGUGACUUGUCUGCUUAAUUGCGAUAACGAGCGAGACCUUACUCUGCUAAAUAGCCCGGCUAGCUUUGGCUGGUCGCCGGCUUCUUAGAGAGACUAUCAACUCAAGUUGAUGGAAGUUUGAGGCAAUAACAGGUCUGUGAUGCCCUUAGAUGUUCUGGGCCGCACGCGCGCUACACUGACAGAGCCAACGAGUUCUUUACCUUGUUCGAAAGAAUUGGGCAAUCUUGUUAAACUCUGUCGUGCUGGGGAUAAAGCAUUGCAAUUAUUGCUUUUCAACGAGGAAUGCCUAGUAAGCGCGUGUCAUCAGCAUGCGUUGAUUACGUCCCUGACCUUUGUACACACCGCCCGUCGCUACUACCGAUUGAAUGGCUCAGUGAGGCUUUCGGACUGGCUCGGGGAGGUUGGCAACGACCACCCCAAGCCGGAAAGUAUCCAAA